Long non-coding RNA from Cannabis sativa, 699 nucleotides. RefSeq lists it as uncharacterized. The transcript is spliced from 2 exons. The record is from RefSeq and is a predicted model, not a curated record. Lineage: Eukaryota; Viridiplantae; Streptophyta; Magnoliopsida; Rosales; Cannabaceae.
AGAGAAAUCCUGCAUGUUAUGUAUUAGAUCAACUCAUUAAAAAUAUGGAACUAAGUUUCUUUCAAAAAAAAAAAAAAAAAAAAAACUCAUUAAAAUAUGGAUAAAAAAAGGGAAUUUUACAAAAAUACUGCUUUUGGACCAAAACUUUACAUUUAUACUGGGACACGGCAAAAACAAUAUUUUUACUGCUCCAGCCCAAUUUCAUUACUUUUGUACUGCCCAAGCCCAACAUCAUUUCAUUUCUACUGUGAACAGUAAAACACACGGGAAACAACCUUGUUCGUGUGUGGGGAGACGCCGGAGACGGAAAUCACCAAGAAAAAACCAUUAAAUCCGGCGAAGAGUUUUUUGAAAAGGAAUCAGAAUUGAAGAACAAGACGUACAGAAAACUGUCCCAACAAAAUAACAGAGGUAAUGGAACGACUACCAGUACUCAUCAAGAGCAAUGGACAAUGGAAUGAAGAUCACAAUUAUGUGAACUAUGUGGCUAGUGGAGAAUUCAUACCAACAAAAUGCAAGUACGAAGAGCUACUGCAAAUACUGGUUACUUCAUUGGGGUGCGAAAACACCAGCACAACACUACAAAUACAGUACCAAGCUAAAGAAGGAAUACCACCGAUCAAAAUAUGCAACGAUCGAAGCCUCUACUUUUACUUGGAAUUGAAAAUGAAGGAAACAGAUUUCACGACAUAUCCACUA